GGCAGGAACCCGUGUCCCCUGCCUCGGCAGGUGGACUCUCAACCACUGCGCCACCAGGGAGGCCCCAAAUGUGUGGUUUUUAAAGCAUAUUUACAAAUUCACGGACACUCCUCCCUUUAGGAAGUAGGAUAUACAUCCCUUCCCCUCAAGCCUCAUCUGUAACCAGUGGAAUAUGGGCAGAUGUGAUGCUGUGUGACUUCUGAGGCUGGGUCCUAAAAAGUCAUGAAUCUUCUACCUUGUUUACUGGAACACCUGCACCUGGAGCCUUGAGGUACCUUGUAAGAAGUUGGACUCCCCUGAGGCUGCCAUGCUGUGAGGAAGCCAAGUCACACAGAGAGGGGCCACAUGUAGGUACUUUGGUUGGCAGUCGUGGUCUUCCAAUUAAUCCAUCUCAGGUCCCAACAGAUCAUUUCCACAUCAUUGGCACAUAUGAAACACUCAAUAAAUAUCUUCUGCUACAAUUAGGAAUUCAAUUUCCUUGAAAGUCCUGGUGAUAUGAUGAUACUCCAGAGUGGAGAGGAAGGAGGGAAUUGCUGGAGUAAUCCUGAAAGUUGGGAGUUUUUCUGGGGUGGAAACCAAACGAAUCCAUCCCAACAUUACGUGGCACUAGAGCCAGUGAUAACACUACGUGGUACUUCCGAACAGCACGCGCACAUUGCCUUUAUGAAGAACUCAUGUUUCUUUGUCCACUUAUGAUCCAUUCCUAUGAUGGCUGUACCCCAGGGUGAACAUCUAUCACCUAUUGCCUUUCUACUGUCCCAGUGAUGAUACUGCAGUUUCCUGCCUCUACAAAUAAUGCUGCAAUGAACAUCCUCCCUCCGGACCUAUGGGAGAAUCUCUUUGGGGUAUAAACAAUGAUUUUCCUUUAUGUACUAAAUGUGUGCCUCCUAUGAAACAGGAGCUGGU
This is a non-coding RNA of Kogia breviceps (pygmy sperm whale), 906 nucleotides long. The record is from RefSeq and is a predicted model, not a curated record. Lineage: Eukaryota; Metazoa; Chordata; Mammalia; Artiodactyla; Physeteridae.